This 463-nucleotide ribosomal RNA is filed under the name uncultured bacterium. RNAcentral describes it as "partial 16S ribosomal RNA". It matches the Rfam family "Bacterial small subunit ribosomal RNA", at positions 28 to 507 of the family's 1533-position model. The record is from RNAcentral.
GACGGACGCUGGCGGCGCGCCUAACACAUGCCAGUCGAACGGUGAAGAGGAGCUUGCUCCUCGGAACAGUGGCGGACGGGUGAGUAACACGUGAGCAACCUGGCUCUAAGAGGGGGACAACAGUUGGAAACGACUGCUAAUACCGCAUGACGUAUCGGGAUGGCAUCUUCCUGAUACCAAAGAUUUUAUCGCUUAGAGAUGGGCUCGCGUCUGAUUAGAUAGUUGGCGGGGUAACGGCCCACCAAGUCGACGAUCAGUAGCCGGACUGAGAGGUUGAACGGCCACAUUGGGACUGAGACACGGCCCAGACUCCUACGGGAGGCAGCAGUGGGGGAUAUUGGACAAUGGGGGCAACCCUGAUCCAGCGACGCCGCGUGAGGGAAGAAGGUUUUCGGAUUGUAAACCUCUGUUGACGGAGAAAAAAAUGAUGGUAUCCGUUUAGAAAGCCACGGCUAACUACGUG